This 292-nucleotide ribosomal RNA is filed under the name uncultured bacterium. Its description in RNAcentral is "partial 16S ribosomal RNA". It matches the Rfam family "Bacterial small subunit ribosomal RNA", at positions 505 to 796 of the family's 1533-position model. The record is from RNAcentral.
GUGUCAGCAGCCGCGGUAAGACAGAGGGUGCAAACGUUGUUCGGAAUUACUGGGCGUAAAGCGUGUGUAGGCGGCUUUGCAAGUCGGAUGUGAAAGCCCCGGGCUCAACCCGGGAAGUGCACUCGAUACUGCAGAGCUUGAGUGUGGGAGAGGUUGGUGGAAUUCUCGGUGUAGAGGUGAAAUUCGUAGAUAUCGAGAGGAACACCGGCGGCGAAGGCGGCCAACUGGACCACUACUGACGCUGAGACACGAAAGCGUGGGGAGCAAACAGGAUUAGAUACCCGCGUAGUCC